AUUGAACGCUGGCGGCAUGCCUUACACAUGCAAGUCGAACGGCAGCACGGGAGCAAUCCUGGUGGCGAGUGGCGAACGGGUGAGUAAUAUAUCGGAACGUGCCCAGUCGUGGGGGAUAACGUAGCGAAAGCUACGCUAAUACCGCAUACGAUCUAUGGAUGAAAGCGGGGGAUCGCAAGACCUCGCGCGAUUGGAGCGGCCGAUAUCAGAUUAGGUAGUUGGUGAGGUAAAGGCUCGCCAAGCCGACGAUCUGUAGCUGGUCUGAGAGGACGACCAGCCACACUGGGACUGAGACACGGCCCAGACUCCUACGGGAGGCAGCAGUGGGGAAUUUUGGACAAUGGGCGCAAGCCUGAUCCAGCAAUGCCGCGUGCAGGAUGAAGGCCUUCGGUUGUAAC
RNAcentral lists this ribosomal RNA (398 nucleotides) under uncultured bacterium. RNAcentral describes it as "bacterial SSU rRNA". It matches the Rfam family "Bacterial small subunit ribosomal RNA", at positions 30 to 429 of the family's 1533-position model. The record is from RNAcentral.